UACACAUGCAAGUCGAGGGGCAGCAUCAUCAAAGCUUGCUUUGAUGGAUGGCGACCGGCGCACGGGUGAGUAACACGUAUCCAACCUGCCGACAACACUGGGAUAGCCUUUCGAAAGAAAGAUUAAUACCGGAUGGCAUAAUUAUUCCGCAUGGGAUAAUUAUUAAAGAAUUUCGGUUGUCGAUGGGGAUGCGUUCCAUUAGGCAGUUGGCGGGGUAACGGCCCACCAAACCUACGAUGGAUAGGGGUUCUGAGAGGAAGGUCCCCCACAUUGGAACUGAGACACGGUCCAAACUCCUACGGGAGGCAGCAGUGAGGAAUAUUGGUCAAUGGACGAGAGUCUGAACCAGCCAAGUAGCGUGAAGGAUGACUGCCCUAUGGGUUGUAAACUUCUUUUAUACGGGAAUAAAGUUAGCCACGUGUGGCUUUUUGUAUGUACCGUAUGAAUAAGGAUCGGCUAACUCCGUGCCAGCAGCCGCGGUAAUACGGAGGAUCCGAGCGUUAUCCGGAUUUAUUGGGUUUAAAGGGAGCGUAGGCGGGUUGUUAAGUCAGUUGUGAAAGUUUGCGGCUCAACCGUAAAAUUGCAGUUGAUACUGGCGACCUUGAGUGCAACAGAGGUAGGCGGAAUUCGUGGUGUAGCGGUGAAAUGCUUAGAUAUCACGAAGAACUCCGAUUGCGAAGGCAGCUUACUGGAUUGUAACUGACGCUGAUGCUCGAAAGUGUGGGUAUCAAACAGGAUUAGAUACCCUGGUAGUCCACACAGUAAACGAUGAAUACUCGCUGUUGGCGAUAUACGGUCAGCGGCCAAGCGAAAGCAUUAAGUAUUCCACCUGGGGAGUACGCCGGCAACGGUGAAACUCAAAGGAAUUGACGGGGGCCCGCACAAGCGGAGGAACAUGUGGUUUAAUUCGAUGAUACGCGAGGAACCUUACCCGGGCUUAAAUUGCAACUGACGGAAUCGGAAACGGUUCU
RNAcentral lists this ribosomal RNA (971 nucleotides) under uncultured bacterium. RNAcentral's name for it is "bacterial SSU rRNA". It matches the Rfam family "Bacterial small subunit ribosomal RNA", at positions 50 to 1013 of the family's 1533-position model. The record is from RNAcentral.